This 74-nucleotide transfer RNA is filed under the name Triticum aestivum (bread wheat). It matches the Rfam family "tRNA". Rfam says of the family: Transfer RNA (tRNA) molecules are approximately 80 nucleotides in length. Their secondary structure includes four short double-helical elements and three loops (D, anti-codon, and T loops). RNAcentral also lists the same sequence under 1 other name. Lineage: Eukaryota; Viridiplantae; Streptophyta; Magnoliopsida; Poales; Poaceae. The record is from Rfam by way of RNAcentral.
GGGCCUGUAGCUCAGAGGAUUAGAGCACGUGGCAACGAACCAUAGUGUCGGGGGUUCGAAUCCCUCCUCGCCCA